This 1476-nucleotide ribosomal RNA is filed under the name Shigella flexneri. RNAcentral describes it as "partial 23S ribosomal RNA". It matches the Rfam family "Bacterial large subunit ribosomal RNA", at positions 1 to 1512 of the family's 2925-position model. RNAcentral also lists the same sequence under 1 other name. Lineage: Bacteria; Pseudomonadati; Pseudomonadota; Gammaproteobacteria; Enterobacterales; Enterobacteriaceae. The record is from RNAcentral.
GGGUUGUGAGGUUAAGCGACUAAGCGUACACGGUGGAUGCCCUGGCAGUCAGAGGCGAUGAAGGACGUGCUAAUCUGCGAUAAGCGUCGGUAAGGUGAUAUGAACCGUUAUAACCGGCGAUUUCCGAAUGGGGAAACCCAGUGUGAUUCGUCACACUAUCAUUAACUGAAUCCAUAGGUUAAUGAGGCGAACCGGGGGAACUGAAACAUCUAAGUACCCCGAGGAAAAGAAAUCAACCGAGAUUCCCCCAGUAGCGGCGAGCGAACGGGGAGCAGCCCAGAGCCUGAAUCAGUGUGUGUGUUAGUGGAAGCGUCUGGAAAGGCGUGCGAUACAGGGUGACAGCCCCGUACACAAAAAUGCACAUACUGUGAGCUCGAUGAGUAGGGCGGGACACGUGGUAUCCUGUCUGAAUAUGGGGGGACCAUCCUCCAAGGCUAAAUACUCCUGACUGACCGAUAGUGAACCAGUACCGUGAGGGAAAGGCGAAAAGAACCCCGGCGAGGGGAGUGAAAAAGAACCUGAAACCGUGUACGUACAAGCAGUGGGAGCACGCUUAGGCGUGUGACUGCGUACCUUUUGUAUAAUGGGUCAGCGACUUAUAUUCUGUAGCAAGGUUAACCGAAUAGGGGAGCCGAAGGGAAACCGAGUCUUAACUGGGCGUUAAGUUGCAGGGUAUAGACCCGAAACCCGGUGAUCUAGCCAUGGGCAGGUUGAAGGUUGGGUAACACUAACUGGAGGACCGAACCGACUAAUGUUGAAAAAUUAGCGGAUGACUUGUGGCUGGGGGUGAAAGGCCAAUCAAACCGGGAGAUAGCUGGUUCUCCCCGAAAGCUAUUUAGGUAGCGCCUCGUGAAUUCAUCUCCGGGGGUAGAGCACUGUUUCGGCAAGGGGGUCAUCCCGACUUACCAACCCGAUGCAAACUGCGAAUACCGGAGAAUGUUAUUACGGGAGACACACGGCGGGUGCUAACGUCCGUCGUGAAGAGGGAAACAACCCAGACCGCCAGCUAAGGUCCCAAAGUCAUGGUUAAGUGGGAAACGAUGUGGGAAGGCCCAGACAGCCAGGAUGUUGGCUUAGAAGCAGCCAUCAUUUAAAGAAAGCGUAAUAGCUCACUGGUCGAGUCGGCCUGCGCGGAAGAUGUAACGGGGCUAAACCAUGCACCGAAGCUGCGGCAGCGACGCUUAUGCGUUGUUGGGUAGGGGAGCGUUCUGUAAGCCUGUGAAGGUGUGCUGUGAGGUAUGCUGGAGGUAUCAGAAGUGCGAAUGCUGACAUAAGUAACGAUAAAGCGGGUGAAAAGCCCGCUCGCCGGAAGACCAAGGGUUCCUGUCCAACGUUAAUCGGGGCAGGGUGAGUCGACCCCUAAGGCGAGGCCGAAAGGCGUAGUCGAUGGGAAACAGGUUAAUAUUCCUGUACUUGGUGUUACUGCGAAGGGGGGACGGAGAAGGCUAUGUUGGCCGGGCGACGGUUGUCCCGGUU